RNAcentral lists this ribosomal RNA (494 nucleotides) under uncultured bacterium. RNAcentral describes it as "partial 16S ribosomal RNA". It matches the Rfam family "Bacterial small subunit ribosomal RNA", at positions 29 to 507 of the family's 1533-position model. The record is from RNAcentral.
ACGAACGCUGGCGGCGUGCCUCAUCCAUGCAAGUAGCACGCUGAAGGAGGAGCUUGCUUCUCCGGAUGAGUUGCGAACGGGUGAGUAACGCGUAGGUAACCUGCCUGGUAGCGGGGGAUAACUAUUGGAAACGAUAGCUAAUACCGCAUAACAGUAGAUGUUGCAUGACAUUUGCUUAAAAGGUGCAAUUGCAUCACUACCAGAUGGACCUGCGUUGUAUUAGCUAGUUGGUGAGGUAACGGCUCACCAAGGCGACGAUACAUAGCCGACCUGAGAGGGUGAUCGGCCACACUGGGACUGCGACACGGCCCAGACUCCUACGGGAGGCAGCAGUAGGGAAUCUUCGGCAAUGGACGGAAGUCUGACCGAGCAACGCCGCGUGAGUGAAGAAGGUUUUCGGAUCGUAAAGCUCUGUUGUAAGAGAAGAACGAGUGUGAGAGUGGAAAGUUCACACUGUGACGGUAUCUUACCAGAAAGGGACGGCUAACUACGUG